AGAAUCAACGCUGGCGGCGUGCCUAACACAUGCAAGUCGCACGAGAAAGGGACUUCGGUCCUGAGUAAAGUGGCGCACGGGCGAGUAACACGUGAAUAAUCUACCUCCGAGUGGGGAAUAACUGAGAGAAAUCUUAGCUAAUACCGCAUAACACUUACGAGUCAAAGCAGCAAUGCGCUUGGAGAGGAGUUCGCGGCAGAUUAGUUAGUUGGCGGGGUAAUGGCCCACCAAGACGAUGAUCUGUA
This 245-nucleotide ribosomal RNA is filed under the name uncultured bacterium. Its description in RNAcentral is "partial small subunit ribosomal RNA". It matches the Rfam family "Bacterial small subunit ribosomal RNA", at positions 26 to 285 of the family's 1533-position model. The record is from RNAcentral.